ACGGAGGAGGCAAGCGUUGUUCGGAAUCACUGGGCUUAAAGCGCGUGUAGGCGGGUUGGCAGGUGUUUUGUGAAAGCCCUCGGCUCAACCGAGGAAUUGCAGGGCAAACCGCCAGUCUUGAGGUAGGUAGAGGCAAGCGGAACUAUGGGUGGAGCGGUGAAAUGCGUAGAUAUCCAUGGGAACGCCGGUGGCGAAAGCGGCUUGCUGGGCCUAUCCUGACGCUGAGACGCGAAAGCGUGGGGAGCAAACAG
RNAcentral lists this ribosomal RNA (251 nucleotides) under uncultured prokaryote. Its description in RNAcentral is "partial 16S rRNA". It matches the Rfam family "Bacterial small subunit ribosomal RNA", at positions 525 to 775 of the family's 1533-position model. The record is from RNAcentral.